AUCAUUACCGAGUUUACACUCCCAAACCCCCAUGUGAACCUGUACCGAACGUUGCCUCGGCGGGAACGCGCGCGUCCCCGGCCCGCCCCCCCCCAGCGGGGGCGCCGGGAGCCAAGGCCGCCCGCCGGGGGAAACCAGAACCCUCUGUAUCUCCAGGAACGUCUGAGUGGAUUUAGUAUCAAAUGAAUCAAAACUUUCAACAACGGAUCUCUUGGCUCUGGCAUCGAUGAAGAACGCAGCGAAAUGCGAUAAGUAAUGUGAAUUGCAGAAUUCAGUGAAUCAUCGAAUCUUUGAACGCACAUUGCGCCCGCCAGUACUCUGGCGGGCAUGCCUGUUCGAGCGUCAUUUCAACCCUCAAGCCCCCCGGGCUUGGUGUUGGGGACCGGCUCCCGGGGGGGGGAAACCCCCCCCCCCCCUGCCGCCCCCCAAAUGGAUCGGCGGCCACGCCGCGGCCUCCCCUGCGCAGUAACACUACUCUCGCAGGCGGGCGGCCCGGCGCGGCCACUGCCGCAAAACGCCCAACUCCUCACGAGUUGACCUCGAAUCAGGUAGGAAUACCCGCUGAACUUAAGCAUAUCAAUAAGCGGAGGAAAAGAAACCAACAGGGAUUGCCCCAGUAACGGCGAGUGAAGCGGCAACAGCUCAAAUUUGAAAUCCGGCCCCCCGGGGCCCGAGUUGUAAUUUGCAGAGGAUGCUUUUGGCGAGGCGCCUUCCGAGUUCCCUGGAACGGGACGCCAUAGAGGGUGAGAGCCCCGUCUGGUCGGACGCCGAGCCUCUGUAAAGCUCCUUCGACGAGUCGAGUAGUUUGGGAAUGCUGCUCUAAAUGGGAGGUAUAUGUCUUCUAAAGCUAAAUACCGGCCAGAGACCGAUAGCGCACAAGUAGAGUGAUCGAAAGAUGAAAAGCACUUUGAAAAGAGGGUUAAACAGUACGUGAAAUUGUUGAAAGGGAAGCGCUUGUGACCAGACUUGGGCCCGGCGGAUCACCCAGCGUUCUCGCUGGUGCACUCCGGCGGGCCCAGGCCAGCAUCAGCUCGUCCCGGGGGACAAAGGCGGGGGGAACGUGGCUCCUCCGGGAGUGUUAUAGCCCACCGCGCAAUGCCCUGGGGCGGGCUGAGGACCGCGCGUUACGCAUGGAUGCUGGCGUAAUGGUCACCAGCGACCCGUCUUGAA
RNAcentral lists this unclassified non-coding RNA (1170 nucleotides) under Claviceps sorghi. RNAcentral describes it as "sequence contains ITS1, 5.8S rRNA gene, ITS2 and 28S rRNA gene". The stretch from base 535 to 1170 matches the Rfam family "Eukaryotic large subunit ribosomal RNA", at positions 1 to 658 of the family's 3401-position model. The record is from RNAcentral. Lineage: Eukaryota; Fungi; Ascomycota; Sordariomycetes; Hypocreales; Clavicipitaceae.